AGGGGCGUCGUUGCCGUGGAAAAGUGGUCGGGUACCGAAAGGGGUCGAGACCGCGGUAAACCUCUAGUUGGUGCGGUAGAGAGGGAGCGGCGGAGACCGUGGUAAACACGACACGUGUACGUUGUUGAGCGGGAGAGUAAGUGGUACGGUGCAGUAUUCGUUAUUAGGAAGCAUUGUCACAGAGUGCUCGAUCGUGUUUGUGGUGGAGCCGGGAGGCGGGAGCAUAAUGGAUGAAGGCGGCGGAAACAUAUCGGAUGCGAUCACACCAGCAGUAAAGCACCGGAUCCUUAUUCUCGACGUUUUCGGAAAGUUUUAGCUUGCGGGUCAUUAUCCACGCGUGU
This 341-nucleotide ribosomal RNA is filed under the name Hordeum pusillum. The record is from RNAcentral. Lineage: Eukaryota; Viridiplantae; Streptophyta; Magnoliopsida; Poales; Poaceae.